AUACACAAAGUGAUUCUUCGACGUGGAUGCCCAUAUCGGAUACUGACAGAUCUUGGUUCAGAAUUCAAUAAUAAGUUUAACUUGUUUUUUUGUGAAAAAUUGGGAAUAGAACGUAGCUUCACCAGUCCGUACCACCCACAGACCAAUGGCUUGGCUGAGAACGCUAAUAGAUCCAUAAAAAGAGCACUGCGGAAGAUGGUUGAUGAAAGUGGGACUAACUGGGAUCAAUUUCUUGAUCCCAUUUUGUUUUCUUUGCGAACAAAAGCACACGCAACAACAAAAAUUUCACCUUUUCGUCUAAUGUUUACUGAAGAACCAGUGUUUCCAACAGACGUCCCAGAGAAUUACCCGAUCCCAGAUAUUAAUACAUUCGUGGAAGAGUUCUGCAAAGAGUACAGCAUAGAUAUGACGUCAAGACAUGAUGCUGAC
This is a long non-coding RNA of Mauremys reevesii (Reeves's turtle), 429 nucleotides long. RefSeq lists it as uncharacterized. The transcript has 4 exons. NCBI's taxonomy places the organism in Eukaryota, Metazoa, Chordata, Testudines, Geoemydidae. The record is from RefSeq and is a predicted model, not a curated record.